Molecule: long non-coding RNA, 1273 nt
Filed under: Anser cygnoides (Swan goose)
Lineage: Eukaryota; Metazoa; Chordata; Aves; Anseriformes; Anatidae
Description: lncRNA (ENSACDG00005006468.1)
Source: RNAcentral
AGUUGUGUUUGAUCAUAACCACUUUAAAAUGUUUUUGUUUGGAGUGGACCAAAUUGCUCUAAGUGAAAGUACUCUUCAGAUGCUUCUCUGCUAUUCCUACACCUUCUUCCCCCAAAGUUAUUAUGAACACCUGCAUUGCUAUCUAUAUAGUAUUAUGUUGUUAGAGUAAAAUAUAUGAAUAUUUACCUUUUAAUAUAUAUCUAUUGAACAAGAUCAUCUUUUUCUAAAUGAAAACAAUUUGAUGAAGGUGUCUCAAGUAUAUCUAGUUCUUUUGUGUAAUUCCCAAGCUAUUUAUUCACACUUCCUUUUAAACAAAUCUUUUUAAUUUUUAGUGCUGUUAGUAAUUAUCUUUCCUCUUUUAAAUAUUGUGUUGAGCUGGCAUUUAAAAUGCUUGUUAUGAUCUCUGGUUCUUAAAUUGUUUUGCAGAACUGACUUACAUAGCCUAUGUUCUUUGAAAGAGAAAAAAAGAAGGAAGAGAAGGAUGAUUCUCUUAAAUGAGUACUUGUUAUAUAGUCUGUCACAGAGACCUGCCCGCUGGCCUACAGCGAAGAGCUAAGACCAAAGCAAAAUGAUGUAACUGCAGGAUUAGUGGGCAGCUGCAGUAACAUCAGUGUGGAAAUAUGUCUUACGAUGGAUCUAGAAACAGAGCUUUCUAAAUUAGAUGAGACAUUUGACUGUAAACUGUACACUGCUCAGUGACGUUGUAUGAGUGGUUUUAAAACGUUUUGAAGGAGAAAUAGACCUGGCUGGAAGAAUGGGUGAAUUACACCUUUGGAUAAUAGAACUCAUUCGUAGAAUUCAACCUAGAACAGUUUAUCAGCCACCAAAAUCAUGAGCAUUAUGUUGUUACAUAAAUUGAAUUUAGAUUGCCAUCCGUUUCCUUUCAGAUAACUGUCUGCAUCUGAAAGAUGCCUCUUCUUUAUGACACGAGGCCAGUCAGGAGCUAACUUGACAGCAUGUGUAUGUGGACGUGUUCAGAUGGUGUCAGUUCGGGAAAGUAGAACAAACAUGCAGCUGCACCCACCUCAACAUGUGGACAGCCCCACAGGUAAAAAAAUCUUCUGGCAGGGGUGGAACAUACUAGUGCUGUAAGGAAAGUCAUUUUGUGGGCCUACAGAUGAUUUGCUGUACAGAACUUAGAAUAUUUUGUCAGAUGUUAUAUGCACAAAAGAUAACAUUAUAGAUAUGUCUGUGCUCUUUAGAAUCAGAUAUCUGUUGCUAUGAGUUGACUUACCACAGCAGAGUUCGGUCUAAAUAGAUAACUGGAUUUUCA